GAUGAACGCUAGCGGCAGGCUUAAUACAUGCAAGUCGAGGGGCAGCACGGGUAGCAAUAUCUGGUGGCGACCGGCGCACGGGUGCGUAACACGUAUGCAAUCUACCUAUAACAGGGGGAUAGCCCCGAGAAAUCGGGAUUAAUACCCCAUAACAUUACGAUAUAGCAUUAUAUUGUGAUUAAAGCUGAGGCGGUUAUAGAUGAGCAUGCGUACCAUUAGCUAGUUGGAGAGGUCACGGCUCACCAAGGCGACGAUGGUUAUGGGUUCUGAGAGGAUGAUCCCCCACACUGGUACUGAGACACGGACCAGACUCCUACGGGAGGCAGCAGUAAGGAAUAUUGGGCAAUGGGCGAGAGCCUGACCCAGCCAUGCCGCGUGCAGGAUGACGGCCUUAUGGGUUGUAAACUGCUUUUGUACGGGAAUAAAUCAGAUUACGUGUAAUUUGUUGAAGGUACCGUAAGAAUAAGCAUCGGCUAACUCCGUGCCAGCAGCCGCGGUAAUACGGAGGAUGCAAGCGUUAUCCGGAUCCAUUGGGUUUAAAGGGUGCGCAGGCGGACCAAUAAGUCAGUGGUAAAAUUCUACGGCUCAACUGUAGAACUGCCAUUGAUACUGUUGGACUAGAGUAUAUUUGGAGUGGGCGGAAUGUGUCAUAUAGCGGUGAAAUGCAUAGAUAUGACACAGAACACCGAUCGCGAAGGCAGCUCACUAAGAUACAACUGACGCUCAUGCACGAAAGCGUGGGGAUCAAACAGGAUUAGAUACCCUGGUAGUCCACGCCGUAAACGAUGAUUACUCGAUGUUGGCGAUACACAGUCAGCGUCUGAACGAAAGUAUUAAGUAAUCCACCUGGGGAGUACGUUCGCAAGGAUG
This 870-nucleotide ribosomal RNA is filed under the name uncultured bacterium. RNAcentral's name for it is "bacterial SSU rRNA". It matches the Rfam family "Bacterial small subunit ribosomal RNA", at positions 28 to 896 of the family's 1533-position model. The record is from RNAcentral.